AACCUUGUAAAAUCUGUCAUCUCCAGCCUUACCAGAAGCUCCUUUCACUCAAACAGCAAAUUGGUAUCAGGACUCAUAAGAUAUCUUUCAGAUCAAUCUUUUUAAUGAAAAUGUGGCCCUCUACAAAAAAUAUUAGAUUCUGUCUCACACUUUUCACUUGCACAUUCAGGUUGUAGACUCGUUAGCAUAAGGACUUCCUACAGGCUUUCAUAACCUGCUAAAACUCCCACUAGGCAUUAUGGCCUUUACAUAUUAGAGCUGCAUAAUAUUACUAACAGAACAUGGAGGGUAAUUUACUGACAAAUGACUGUAAUUGAACACACAAUCUACCAACCAUGUUCUAACAGAAAAAAAUACGUUCUAUAUAAUGCAGAAAUACCAUAUCAAAUUUUAAAGGAGGGAAUGAAGUCAGCAAGGCAGAGUUAAUGACAUCUAUUAAUUAUAGAUAGUCCAGACAUACUCUUGUCUGGUUUGUUUUUAACUUUCAUCAACAUAGAAUCCAAAAGCUGUGCUGCUGCAUGCCAAUUCCACUGUGGAUUUUCUACCCUCAUCAUCAGCUAACUUUACUGGAGCCCAUUCUGAAUCACAGAACCAUAGAUUCUCCUCUGUUGCAGUACAUGUUCUCACCUACCCACUAAUGACAUGGAAUAAAAAUGUAUGUAUAUUCAUUUACAAGGCAGUAUCCUUUUACAUAUCUGAAGGUUGCUAUUGCAUUCCCUCUCAGUCAAUUCUUCAAGGUGCUCGUGAAUGGCCACAAAUUAUCCAGACCUCGUCUUCUCAUUUUCCCCCUUAAGGCUUCUUCUGAUUGGUUCUUCUCUUUCUGAUGUGUGAUGCUGAAAUCCAAAUAUGUUAUGCUACGCAUUUUAAAAAUUUCUCCUUCAUUGUCACAUGAGGAUUUAGGAAAUGGAAACAGAACAGACAUGGCUGACUCACAAGGACAACACAUCACAUUAACAUUAGAAAAUAGCAUGAUCU
Oxyura jamaicensis (ruddy duck) is the source of this 975-nucleotide long non-coding RNA. RefSeq lists it as uncharacterized. The record is from RefSeq and is a predicted model, not a curated record. The transcript has 3 exons. NCBI's taxonomy places the organism in Eukaryota, Metazoa, Chordata, Aves, Anseriformes, Anatidae.